UUGACACUGACUGCUGCUUUUUGACUAUGACUCCCCGUACUUCUAGCACUUAUUGAGGAACAUCAAAAGAAACUGUCCUAAAAUCAAGAGAGUAUCACCAACAUUUAGGGGUGUUCAUGGGUCGGUUUGGAUCGGUUGGUGGUUAAAACCAUAACCAAAAUCAAUUUAGACGGUUUUUGAAUUUCUAAAACCAAACCAAACCAAACCAAAAGAAAAAAACAACCGUCGGUUUGGUUCGGUUCUUUUGGUUAUUGACUAGCCUACUCUAUUAAUAUUUACGAGGUCAAUUUUCUCUUCUUCCCAAAUUACUAAAUAAAACAGCAAAAAUAGGUAGACGGAGCAAAAUCGCAAUAGUUAUCAAAAUUACCUUACCGAAAUUCCAAAUAUCAUACCAUACCUUGUCCUACCUAACAAGACUUAGCUUGGUACACUAUACGUUGUGCAUUGCAUAACCAAGCAUUCAUUUUUCUACUUUUUUUUUCCUCUGAUGGUUCCAACUUAGCAUAAGUUUAAUUAUAUUGAACUGUAUAUUUCUUGAAUGAAACUACUUGUUUAGAUUAAAAAUAUAACUAUCAGACACAUUAUUCAUGGUACUCUACUCUACGUUGUUGAGGCUUUGCGGCAUCUAUUUCGGAUCCUCAAAAGUUGAACAGAAUGAAUUGGAGGAUCCAACACGCAUGCAGUUAAGCGUCAUUUUUUGAGAGUCCAAACACCCCAUAGCUCUACUCUAUUAAUAUCUACGAGGUUCACACUCCGUCUGCUGAAUAGUCUUAUGGUACAUCACAUCUACAGAGAACAAAAACAGCCAGAAGAUCUAUUGGCGAUGCUGGCAACCAGAUAGCUUAACAACAACGACACUUCAAUGUAUAUUUUGUGUGCGGAUAGAAAUGGAGUUUUGUCCACUUGACUGGUUAAUGCUAGUGCAGCAUACUCAUCUUUAAUGUAUAAUAUUAACUGUAAUGUGUCGUCUAAUGUACAUAAUGUAUGAUUAGAAAAGAAA
Molecule: long non-coding RNA, 1000 nt
Organism: Capsicum annuum
Lineage: Eukaryota; Viridiplantae; Streptophyta; Magnoliopsida; Solanales; Solanaceae
Exons: 2
Source: RefSeq, a predicted model, not a curated record